CAGCCGCCACGGGAAUACGGAGGGUGCAAGCGUUAAUCGGAAUUACUGGGCGUAAAGCGCACGCAGGCGGUCUGUCAAGUCGGAUGUGAAAUCCCCGGGCUCAACCCGGGAACUGCAUUCGAAACUGGCAGGCUAGAGUCUUGUAGAGGGGGGUAGAAUUCCAGGUGUAGCGGUGAAAUGCGUAGAGAUCUGGAGGAAUACCGGUGGCGAAGGCGGCCCCCUGGACAAAGACUGACGCUCAGGUGCGAAAGCGUGGGGAGCAAACAGGAUUAGAUACCCGGGUAGUCCCUGUCUCUUAUAC
This 301-nucleotide ribosomal RNA is filed under the name uncultured bacterium. RNAcentral's name for it is "partial 16S ribosomal RNA". It matches the Rfam family "Bacterial small subunit ribosomal RNA", at positions 509 to 807 of the family's 1533-position model. The record is from RNAcentral.